RNAcentral lists this unclassified non-coding RNA (1003 nucleotides) under Hevea brasiliensis (rubber tree). Lineage: Eukaryota; Viridiplantae; Streptophyta; Magnoliopsida; Malpighiales; Euphorbiaceae. The record is from RNAcentral.
AAGGAAUUGCAAAUGAAAAAAUCUAAUUGGGCUAACUGUGUUAUCACAAAACACAUCUCAAUACAUGAUUUAUCGAGAGAAAUCUUCUCCCAGGCUUUUUACAAAAACAAACAAAUAUUGGUUUUAUAAUUGCAAAUUGGACUAGAUGUUAGUAUUUUUCUGGUCAUUAACCCUAAUAAAAAAUUCAUUUACAUAUUGGGUAUUUGUAAUUUCAAUGGAAUUUGUAUUUUUUUGCAAGUGAUUGCCUAUUGAUUCUCGAUUUUGUAAUCACACAUGCACAACAAAAUAGGAAAACCAUUCGAAAAUUACUCUAAAUAACAUAUGCUGCCAAAGUGGGAGAUUAUUAGCCUUUUAAGUUUCUGAGGACAGCAUAAUCAUUUUUUGUUAGCUCCAUACCUCAUAUAAUUUUUACGGGGCCACACUACUUUACUAAGACACAUAAAUUGGAGUAAGGACAAUAAUGGGUACCCCUCCUCAUGAAGCAAAAGGAUAGCAAAUUCUUUAGUUUUAUCAGCUAACAUGGAGAAUGGAGACUACUAGGCGAAGUAUGGGGAGGCUCGUCAAGUGCAGUAUGUUUCUCCCUAUGAAUCCAUAUCUUUUUUCUGCAUGCUAGCAGAAUUGGAGGGCUAUUUUUGGUCUCUUUUCUUUUUAUUGUGUGUGUGGAGUCGUCCAAUUAAUUUCCACUAGUUUAGUGUUAGCAAAUUCAAAUUUUGAAACUUCUCAUGUAGGGAAAAACCUAUAUAAACUAAUUCUAUUAAUUUAAUCACUUUUCCAAUAAUGUCCUUACAUCACAUUAUUUUGAACAAAUUUUUACCUAUGGCCUAUAACCCUGGCUUGAAAUUCUAUUUCACACCCUUCUUUUUAUUUUCGUACUUUUCCCAUUAUGCUUAGAAUACUUUAGUGUGAACUUCUCCCUCACAUUCCUGUUAUUCAAUCCUUUCUACAUGUCAAGUCAAUAAUAUGAGCAUCUUAUGAACUUCUUCACAUUAAAUUGAUGAACCAU